UACGUAGGGCGCAAGCGUUGUCCGGAAUUAUUGGGCGUAAAGAGCUCGUAGGCGGCCAGUUGCGUCUGCUGUGAAAUCCCGGGGCUCAACCCCGGGCUUGCAGUGGAUACGGGCUGGCUGGAGGCAGGCAGGGGAGAACGGAAUUCCCGGUGUAGCGGUGAAAUGCGCAGAUAUCGGGAGGAACACCGGUGGCGAAGGCGGUUCUCUGGGCCUGUACUGACGCUGAGGAGCGAAAGCGUGGGGAGCAAACAG
This 252-nucleotide ribosomal RNA is filed under the name uncultured bacterium. RNAcentral's name for it is "partial 16S ribosomal RNA". It matches the Rfam family "Bacterial small subunit ribosomal RNA", at positions 524 to 775 of the family's 1533-position model. The record is from RNAcentral.